This 393-nucleotide ribosomal RNA is filed under the name uncultured bacterium. RNAcentral describes it as "bacterial SSU rRNA". It matches the Rfam family "Bacterial small subunit ribosomal RNA", at positions 30 to 420 of the family's 1533-position model. The record is from RNAcentral.
AUUGAACGCUGGCGGCAUGCUUUACACAUGCAAGUCGAACGGCAGCACGGGUGCUUGCACCUGGUGGCGAGUGGCGGACGGGUGAGUAAUACAUCGGAACGUAUCCAGAAGAGGGGGGAUAACGCAUCGAAAGAUGUGCUAAUACCGCAUAUUCUCUGAGGAGGAAAGCAGGGGAUCGAAAGACCUUGCGCUUUGGGAGCGGCCGAUGUCUGAUUAGCUAGUUGGUGGGGUAAAGGCCUACCAAGGCGACGAUCAGUAGUUGGUCUGAGAGGACGACCAGCCACACUGGGACUGAGACACGGCCCAGACUCCUACGGGAGGCAGCAGUGGGGAAUUUUGGACAAUGGGCGCAAGCCUGAUCCAGCAAUGCCGCGUGAGUGAAGAAGGCCUCGG